UUGCCCUACGGGACGCAGCAGUGGGGAAUAUUGGGCAAUGGGCGCAAGCCUGACCCAGCAACGCCGCGUGAAGGAAGAAGGCUUUCGGGUUGUAAACUUCUUUUAAGGGGGAAGAGCAGAAGACAGUACCCCUUGAAUAAGCCACGGCUAACUACGUGCCAGCAGCCGCGGUAAUACGUAGGUGGCAAGCGUUGUCCGGAUUUACUGGGUGUAAAGGGCGUGCAGCCGGAGAAACAAGUCAGAUGUGAAAUUCACGGGCUCAACCCGUGAA
Molecule: ribosomal RNA, 271 nt
Filed under: uncultured bacterium
Lineage: Bacteria
Description: partial 16S ribosomal RNA
Rfam family: Bacterial small subunit ribosomal RNA
Source: RNAcentral